This is a long non-coding RNA of Amphibalanus amphitrite, 2944 nucleotides long. RefSeq lists it as uncharacterized. Lineage: Eukaryota; Metazoa; Arthropoda; Thecostraca; Balanomorpha; Balanidae. The record is from RefSeq and is a predicted model, not a curated record. The transcript has 2 exons.
CGUUGGCUUUCUUGCUGCCUAGGGUGACACGGUGAGAGUUAAUGGCAAAUUAAUAGAAAACAAGACCGAUGUGGGGUCUAUUUAAAGCAUAAUGGUAAACAAAAUUAAAUUUUAUAUCUGUUAGUAUAGGUUUUUAAACAAAAUAAACGCGGGAACUUUACGAAACGUGGUAUUGAAAACUGCCGACCAUAAUUAUCACCCGCAGUUGCGCACAGUGUUCUGUUCUGCUAUCGCUAGCAAACGCCAGCUUUUGUAUCUGAUUGGUUUAACGGCGUUUCUUUUACUGAUUGAGAACACUUUUAAGUUUCAAGCUAUUCAGCAUGGGUUUGGAUUCAACUCAAGGCGCUCAGGGCUAUAAACACUUUCAAAUUGAAUGAAUUUUCUUGUUGGAUUUGUAUUUGAUAGGCCACGGAACAGGAAACAGAUUUUGAAAUGUACUUUUAUUGUUAGUUUAUCUGUGCUGGGUCGGUGGGGUGGAUUUGUGUCAAGUUUCUUUUCUGUGGUUAGUUAGAUGCAAAUCAAAAUAGUUUUAUAUUGAUUUGCCAUCGGAAUUAUUAGGUAGGUACCAAUCCUACGAAGUAUGUAGUCUACCCGAAGUCAAGGCUAUAUAAACCCCUCACUCAGAUUCAUUUUGGUCCUCUGCUCUCUUGUUUCCAUGAUCCUGAUCCUCUCCUUCUCUUCUGCGUCUCAAUCCUGCUUCAGGUCGAGACUCUGCUUUGGUUGGCCAUUUCGAGAGGUGCUUUUGGAGCUUGCAGCAAUGUGCGUUGCGAGUAACUCACCAGAAAAGAUGACGCUCUGAGAAUUAAUAAACAAAAGCCCACAAAGUCCUGUAAUUGACAAGUUCAAGUUACAUGGAUAAGUUUGAGUUAUUAUAUCAUUAAAAAAGUCUUGCAAUGUGUGUAGCGAUAAUGAAAUACAUGCCCUCCGCGGGCUUUGUCCACCUCUCCCAAGCAUCCACCCUGCUAAGGGUUGGACAGACAACUAUCCCAUGGGGGAAGCCUGGAGGUUCCCCCAUGGUCCAAUCUUAUAAAAUGUCUUACUAUUCUAUUCAUGGCAUUUGGUAACAUUUAUGGUGAUGUCAGUGCUGACAAAGGGUUAUCCGAGUCAACAAAAUGAUUAUUUGGAUCGUCAACAUACAAUGGACUGAAAUGCGUGAAAACAAUUUUGCAUUUGAUAGCCGUUUUCUUCAGCUGAAUUUCAGUCAGUGCUGCCAUAUCCAUUCCAUGGUGUUUAUAAGAUUGAGCCCAGGAGUAUGCUCAUAGCUGGGUGUGGUGAGUGUCGUGGGGCUGAGUGGCCUCUCCACUGGAGUCUGGAUGACUCAGUCUGGACAACUCACCUCAACCUGAGUGUCUGCCCAGACCAAUGUUUCCUCAUAAUGUCUCCAGGUCUCCACUGCUCUCCUCGCCUGUUUCAGCUGUCUACCCCUGCACGCCUGGUUCCUGACUCCCUCUCUCAUUCGCUUUGCCCAGGUUUUGCCAAUGUUCUGAGUGUACAGUUGCUGCUUUUUGGUGCGCACACACCCCAGGCUCUCCAUCCAAUUAACGCCUGAACAGUUGCUGAAAGUGCCUCCCACCAGACUUGCUGAAUGGCUACUACUUGCAUAUGCUAUCUGGACUGAAGCUUCCCCAACUAGCUGCCAUGGCUCUCGGCAGCUGGGCUUAAUAGGUCACAGGUCAAAGUUCAUUUGGGUCAGGUUCAUAAAAUGUCAAGGACAUGUGUAAAAUUGAUCAACUCGAGGGUACUGAAAGUUUCGUCGCAAUCGGCGUCUUUUUUAUGCGAGUUAUGAGUUAUCCGCGAAAAACCGAGUAGGGGUCCGUUCGACCCCCCCCCCCCAUACGGGCGAGGGUUAGGCCACAUUCGGAAAGUCAAACUACAUCUAGUUAGGCACAUCAGCCUAUCACGGGCGUUUGACUAGUAAAAUAUAGACAUUUGCAGCCUUUUUUGACGUUGAAUAAACUGAUUUAGUUAUAGGUCGUCAAUCGUCAUUAUGUGCCUGCCGCCGCUUUUGUCGUCUUCAUUGUGUGCUUUGUGGUUUUUGAGUUUUGAUCAUAUCAUCCUCCACCAGGCUUGUUUCUGGCGGUGGUUCUGGAGACAGUGGGUCGAUCCAGCUGUAGGACGUCAUCCGGAGGUGGCAGAGUGUGAUGGCCAGCCACGCGGCGCGCGUAUCGACAUUGACCAGAAACUAUCACAUCAUCUCCAGGUCACUGGUCGCGGGCGCUUGAGCUGACGGUGUCUUCUGACGGCUGCACGGUGGCCAGCGUCGCCACCGCCGAGACCAUCCGACUCCUGAAAUGCUAACGGCCGUGCACGAACAAGAGGCUCUAAGCAUCCAGGUGCAAGGCAAGCGCCAUGCUCAGAGGUGUCAUCCGAAGAAGGCCGCACAGUGCACUUUAGGCUGAGCUCGGGUGUAGUGCGCGCCGACGGAUAGGAUGAAAUGACGGGCCGGCCAUCAGAUUUCAGUGCGGGGAUCAAGAUGGUCGGAGCCGACGUGGCUCGGUUGAUGGUGUGCCAGGGUUGAUUGAGAGUGAAAGCGAGACACCCGGAUCUGUAAAGAAUACGCCGAUACGGGUCUCGAACGUCGUCUCGCAAUUUGUGCUCUGUAAUAUGACUGCUAUGCCGUGGUAUCAUUCACUCUCGGUGCGCUAAUAAAUAAUAAAUAGGACAGAGGCUGGAAUUAAGAUAUUAUAUUUGGAUGUAAGGGGCAGGUUUGGGCCAGCGCUAUAUUAGAAAUCGUGAGCGUGCUAGUUGCAAUCAAUCGCGCGCUUCUUGUUGAGCAUCUGUGAGCGAGAAAAUACUUUCUCUGGAACUUAGCAGUUCGUCGUGAAAUAUUUGUAUCUUUGGAGUAAGUUGUCAGAACAUGAAUGCAUUUUUGGUGUCCACUGCAGCUGCUGUUCUGGAACAGAAACAUGCCGAGAUCGGCUGUGUAUGUAUGUUGUGGCAAAAU